RNAcentral lists this long non-coding RNA (289 nucleotides) under Phoenix dactylifera (date palm). RNAcentral's name for it is "long non-coding RNA (PDAC_LNC013628)". Lineage: Eukaryota; Viridiplantae; Streptophyta; Magnoliopsida; Arecales; Arecaceae. The record is from RNAcentral.
AACGAUCCAUCUGGAAAUAUGUUUCAAUUCAAUAAGUCAAGUGAUAGUGAUUUGACUUUCCCUGGCCAGGGUACUACUUAAUUGAAAACACAAGGCAUUCACCCUUAUUUCUAAGGGAGGUCAAUCCCAUCUUGAUCUGCAACUGACUACCACAAGUACUUGACCGGACCCAGAAACCUUUCGUCGCUGGAUUAGAAAUCCAGGUAGUCCGGCACCAAAGUACAGUGAGUUGCUUGCAAGCCACCGGUUGCAAUCUCAGGUCUAAAGGAUACAUAUACCCAUAUCCACU